RNAcentral lists this small RNA (27 nucleotides) under Bombyx mori (domestic silkworm). RNAcentral describes it as "ovarian small RNA-6760". The record is from RNAcentral. Lineage: Eukaryota; Metazoa; Arthropoda; Insecta; Lepidoptera; Bombycidae.
UCAACGCAGUGACUCGUCGACGGAGGU